Molecule: ribosomal RNA, 301 nt
Filed under: uncultured bacterium
Lineage: Bacteria
Description: partial 16S ribosomal RNA
Rfam family: Bacterial small subunit ribosomal RNA
Source: RNAcentral
CAGCAGCCGCGGGAAAACGGAGGGAGCUAGCGUUGUUCGGAAUUACUGGGCGUAAAGCGCACGUAGGCGGCUACUCAAGUCGGGGGUGAAAGCCCGGGGCUCAACCCCGGAACUGCCCUCGAAACUAGGUAGCUAGAAUCUUGGAGAGGUCAGUGGAAUUCCGAGUGUAGAGGUGAAAUUCGUAGAUAUUCGGAAGAACACCAGUGGCGAAGGCGACUGACUGGACAAGUAUUGACGCUGAGGUGCGAAAGCGUGGGGAGCAAACAGGAUUAGAUACCCGCGUAGUCCCUGUCUCUUAUAU